RNAcentral lists this long non-coding RNA (210 nucleotides) under Gossypium barbadense (sea-island cotton). RNAcentral's name for it is "long non-coding RNA (GBAR_LNC018330)". The record is from RNAcentral. Lineage: Eukaryota; Viridiplantae; Streptophyta; Magnoliopsida; Malvales; Malvaceae.
CGCGAUUAACAGUGCAACCCCACCAUUAUGAAAAGCAUGCAGAAAAAGAAACAUAGCCCUAGCUAGUUUAUGAGCCAAGGCCAAACCCCGGCCGCUAGGCCUAUACUACGAGCCAAAGUUGAGAUGGCAACAGGCCCCAAACUAUUGAAAUUGAAAGGUUUGAGAGCAGCCAUGGCCAUGGUGUGUCCCCUCCAGUUGUGGGUCCCUGGC